RNAcentral lists this ribosomal RNA (563 nucleotides) under uncultured archaeon. RNAcentral's name for it is "bacterial SSU rRNA". It matches the Rfam family "Archaeal small subunit ribosomal RNA", at positions 311 to 879 of the family's 1478-position model. The record is from RNAcentral.
CCGCGAUUCGCCCUUCGGGGUGCCCAGGCGCGAAAACUUUACAAUGCGGGAAACCGUGAUAAGGGAACUCCGAGUGCCCGUAAAGUCGGGCUGUCCAUCUGUUUAAAUAACAGGUGAAGAAAGGGCCGGGCAAGACCGGUGCCAGCCGCCGCGGUAAUACCGGCGGCUCGAGUGGUGGCCACUAUUACUGGGCUUAAAGCGUUCGUAGCUGGUCUGUUAAGUCUCUGGGGAAAUCUACUGGCUUAACCAAUAGGCGUUUCAGGGAUACUGGCAGACUAGGGACCGGGAGAGGUGAGGGGUACUCCAGGGGUAGGAGUGAAAUCCUGUAAUCCUUGGGGGACCACCUGUGGCGAAGGCGCCUCACCAGAACGGCUCCGACAGUGAGGGACGAAAGCUGGGGGAGCAAACCGGAUUAGAUACCCGGGUAGUCCCAGCCGUAAACGAUGCGCGUUAGGUGUAUCGGUGACCACGAGUCACCGAGGUGCCGAAGAGAAAUCGUGAAACGUGCCGCCUGGGAAGUACGGUCGCAAGGCUGAAACUUAAAGGAAUUGGCGGGGGAGCAC